UACGUAGGGUCCAAGCGUUAAUCGGAAUUACUGGGCGUAAAGCGUGCGCAGGCGGUGAUGUAAGACAGAUGUGAAAUCCCCUGGCUCAACCUGGGAACUGCAUUUGUGACUGCAUCGCUGGAGUGCGGCAGAGGGGGAUGGAAUUCCGCGUGUAGCAGUGAAAUGCGUAGAUAUGCGGAGGAACACCAAUGGCGAAGGCAAUCCCCUGGGCCUGCACUGACGCUCAUGCACGAAAGCGUGGGGAGCAAACAGG
This 253-nucleotide ribosomal RNA is filed under the name uncultured bacterium. RNAcentral's name for it is "partial 16S ribosomal RNA". It matches the Rfam family "Bacterial small subunit ribosomal RNA", at positions 524 to 776 of the family's 1533-position model. The record is from RNAcentral.